CGUGUAGGCGGUCAAGUAAGUGGAAUGUGAAAUGCCCCGGCUCACCCGGGGAUCUGCAUCCCAAACUGCUUGGCUUGAGUAUGGGAGAGGAUGAGGGAAUUCCUGGUGUAGCGGUGAAAUGCGUAGAUAUCAGGAGGAACACCGGUGGCGAAAGCGCUCAUCUGGCCCAAUACUGACGCUGAGGCGCGAAGCUAGGGAGCAAACG
This 205-nucleotide ribosomal RNA is filed under the name uncultured bacterium. RNAcentral's name for it is "partial 16S ribosomal RNA". It matches the Rfam family "Bacterial small subunit ribosomal RNA", at positions 568 to 774 of the family's 1533-position model. The record is from RNAcentral.